RNAcentral lists this unclassified non-coding RNA (279 nucleotides) under plant metagenome. Its description in RNAcentral is "partial contains small subunit ribosomal RNA, internal transcribed spacer 1, and 5.8S ribosomal RNA". The record is from RNAcentral.
UUUCCGUAGGUGAACCUGCGGAAGGAUCAUUAUUGUAUAACCGAGAUGCGAGGGCUGUCGCUGCACCGAAAGGUCGUGCACGCCUGAGUGCCCUCCCAUACAUCCAUCUCACCCCUCUGUGUCCGACCGCGUGGGUCCCCCCUUGGUUUGCUUGGCGGGGGGCUUAAGUUAUAACACAAACUUUGUUUGCAGUGCAGAAUGUAUUUUUUGUUCAUGUGCUCCCGCACUCAAUACAACUUUCAACAACGGAUAUCUUGGCCCUCGCCUGGAUGCAGAACC